This 489-nucleotide ribosomal RNA is filed under the name uncultured Actinomycetales bacterium. RNAcentral describes it as "partial 16S ribosomal RNA". The record is from RNAcentral. Lineage: Bacteria; Bacillati; Actinomycetota; Actinomycetes; Actinomycetales.
CACGUAGUUAGCCGGCGCUUCUUCUGCAGGUACCGUCACCCGAAGGCUUCUUCCCUACCGAAAGCGGUUUACAACCCGAAGGCCGUCAUCCCGCACGCGGCGUCGCUGCAUCAGGCUUUCGCCCAUUGUGCAAUAUUCCCCACUGCUGCCUCCCGUAGGAGUCUGGGCCGUGUCUCAGUCCCAGUGUGGCCGGUCGCCCUCUCAGGCCGGCUACCCGUCAUCGCCUUGGUAGGCCAUCACCCCACCAACAAGCUGAUAGGCCGCGAGCCCAUCCCCCACCGCAAAAGCUUUCCACCACCCACCAUGCAGCAGGAAGUGAAUAUCCGGUAUUAGACCCCGUUUCCAAGGCUUAUCCCAGAGAGGAGGGCAGGUUGCUCACGUGUUACUCACCCGUUCGCCACUCACCACCCCAGCAAGCUGGAGUGAUCCGUUCGACUUGCAUGUGUUAAGCACGCCGCCAGCGUUCGUCCUGAGCCAGGAUCAAACUCU